CCCCCCUUCUCACGGCAUAUAUAAGGAAUAAAAUGAAAAUACAGACUUAUGCAGUUGAUGCCUGAUAAUGCCAAGACAUGGAAACAUGCAAACUACAGAGAACCCUCAGAGCUUUGGGUUGCUCAUGGCACCACCAGACUUCCUUGGCCACCUGCUGCAAAAACCGAAGAAGGUAAAAUGAUUGUUCGUUUCUGAUAACAAAGCAUACAGGCCAAAGUAUGGAAAGAAAUAGAGUCUCUUGCUUGUGGAGCUGGAUUUGGACAAAAGCUGGUUGACUCGAAGGGCCUUAUAAAGGCGUGACAGAUGGCUCUGAAGACAGACAUUUGAGAAUUACUACAUAUGGACUGCCUGGUAAUUUCAUUUCAUGGCUGAAAAUUAUUAAGUUUGUGAUUACACAUUUGAC
Long non-coding RNA from Carlito syrichta (Philippine tarsier), 403 nucleotides. RefSeq lists it as uncharacterized. The record is from RefSeq and is a predicted model, not a curated record. Lineage: Eukaryota; Metazoa; Chordata; Mammalia; Primates; Tarsiidae. The transcript has 4 exons.